RNAcentral lists this ribosomal RNA (1949 nucleotides) under human oral metagenome. RNAcentral's name for it is "bacterial LSU rRNA". It matches the Rfam family "Bacterial large subunit ribosomal RNA", at positions 994 to 2925 of the family's 2925-position model. The record is from RNAcentral.
AGUGAUAAGACCCGUAGUCAAGAGGGAAACAGCCCAGACCAACAGCUAAGGUCCCGAAUGCCGUACUAAGUGGCAAAGGAGGUGGCGUUUCGAAAACAACCAGGAUGUUGGCUCAGAAGCAGCCAUCAUUAAAAGAGUGCGUAAUAGCUCACUGGUCGAGAGACGCGGCGCCGAAGAUGACCGGGGCUAAAGUACGGAACCGAAGCUUUGGCAUGUAUGGAGACAUACAUGGGUAGGGGAGCGUUCCUGCAUGGGCGAAGCCUGACCGGAAGGACAGGUGGACAGGCAGGAAGCGAGAAUGCCGGUAUGAGUAGCGAAAAGAAAGGUGGGAAUCCUUUCCACCGAAAGCCUAAGGGUUCCUGGGCAACGAUCGUCGACCCAGGGUAAGUCGGGGCCUAAUCCGAGGCGCAGACGCAUAGGAGAUGGACAACAGGUUGAAAUUCCUGUACCGACACCGUCCGAUAGAGCGAGGGAGUGACACAAGAAGGAACGUUCGCAUGCGAAUGGAAGAGCAUGUCCAAGCCGGUAGGUGGCGUAUCAGGCAAAUCCGGUACGCCGAAAGCCGAGAGGUGAUGGGGAGGCUGUAGGGAUACAGAGGAAGGAACGGGGACUCAAUUGUCAAGAAAAGCUUCUAGCGAGGACGGUGGCGCCCGUACCGAAACCGACACAGGUAGGCAGGACGAGAAUUCUAAGGUGCGCGGGAAACCCCUCGUUAAGGAACUCGGCAAAAUGUAUCCGUAACUUCGGGAAAAGGAUAACCCAGAGUAGGUGAAGGGCAGAAACGUCCGGAGCCGAAAUGGGUGGCACAAGAGAGGCCCAAGCGACUGUUUAGCACAAACACAGGCGUCUGCGAAAGAGAAAUCUGAAGUAUAGAUGCUGACACCUGCCCGGUGCUGGAAGGUUAAGAGGACGUGUGAGCCGCAAGGCGAAGCAGAGAAUUGAAGCCCCAGUAAACGGCGGCCGUAACUAUAACGGUCCUAAGGUAGCGAAAUUCCUUGUCGGGUAAGUUCCGACCCGCACGAAAGGUGUAACGAUUUGGGCACUGUCUCAACGAGGGACCCGGUGAAAUUGAAAUACCUGUGAAGAUGCAGGUUACCCGCGACUGGACAGAAAGACCCCAUGGAGCUUUACUGCAACCUGAGAUGGGAUUUGGGUAUAAGACGUACAGGAUAGUUGGGAGGCGCGGAAGUGAGGACGGCAGUUUUCACGGAGCCGACGGUGGGAUACCAACCUUGUUGUACUGAAAUUCUAACGAGAGCCGUAACGAGGCUUCGGACAGUCUCAGGCAGGCAGUUUGACUGGGGCGGUCGCCUCCGAAAGAGCAACGGAGGCGCCCAAAGGUUCCCUCAGCGCGGACGGAAACCGCGCGCAGAGUGUAAAGGCAGAAGGGAGCUUGACUGCGAGACGGACAGGUCGAGCAGGGACGAAAGUCGGGCUUAGUGAUCCGGUGGAAGAGAGUGGAAUUGCCAUCGCACAACGGAUAAAAGCUACCCUGGGGAUAACAGGCUUAUCUCUCCCAAGAGUCCAUAUCGACGGGGAGGUUUGGCACCUCGAUGUCGGCUCAUCACAUCCUGGGGCUGAAGUAGGUCCCAAGGGUUGGGCUGUUCGCCCAUUAAAGUGGUACGCGAGCUGGGUUCAGAACGUCGUGAGACAGUUCGGUCCCUAUCCAUCGCGGGCGGAAGAAACUUGAAAGGGGCUGCUCCCAGUACGAGAGGACCGGAGUGGACGAACCGCUGGUGUAUCGGUUAUGCCGCCAGGCGUACAGCCGAGUAGCUACGUUCGGGACGGAUAAACGCUGAAAGCAUCUAAGCGUGAACCCGGCCUAAAGAUGAGGUUUCUCCUUGCAAGACAAGUAAGGCCCCAUGAAGACGACAUGGUAGAUAGGCCGGGAGUGGAAGUGCAGCGAUGCAUGGAGCGGACCGGUACUAAUAGGCCGAGGACUUAACUUA